UAACACCAGCCCCUCGAGUGGUGGGGAUGAUUAUUUGGCCUAAAGCGUCCGUAGCUGGCCAUGUAAGUCUCCCGUUAAAUCCAGCGUCUCAAGCGUUGGACUGCGAGAGAUACUGUUUAGCUAGGGGACGGGAGCGGUCGACGGUAUUUCCGGGGUAGGGGUGAAAUCCUAUAAUCCCGGGAGGACCACCAGUGGCGAAGGCUGUUGACUAGAACGUGCCCGACGGUGAGGGAUGAAAGCUGGGGGAGCGAACCGGAUUAGAUACCCGGGUAGUCCCAGCCGUAAACAAUGCAGGCUAGGUGUUAGAGCGGCUACGUGCCGCCCUAGUGCCGCAGGGAAGCCGUUAAGCCUGCCGCCUGGGGAGUACGGCCGCAAGGCUG
This 380-nucleotide ribosomal RNA is filed under the name uncultured archaeon. RNAcentral's name for it is "bacterial SSU rRNA". It matches the Rfam family "Archaeal small subunit ribosomal RNA", at positions 471 to 851 of the family's 1478-position model. The record is from RNAcentral.